RNAcentral lists this ribosomal RNA (253 nucleotides) under uncultured bacterium. Its description in RNAcentral is "partial 16S ribosomal RNA". It matches the Rfam family "Bacterial small subunit ribosomal RNA", at positions 524 to 776 of the family's 1533-position model. The record is from RNAcentral.
UACGAAGGGGGCUAGCGUUGCUCGGAAUCACUGGGCGUAAAGGGUGCGUAGGCGGGUCUUUAAGUCAGGGGUGAAAUCCUGGAGCUCAACUCCAGAACUGCCUUUGAUACUGAAGAUCUUGAGUUCGGGAGAGGUGAGUGGAACUGCGAGUGUAGAGGUGAAAUUCGUAGAUAUUCGCAAGAACACCAGUGGCGAAGACGGCUCACUGGCCCGAUACUGACGCUGAGGCACGAAAGCGUGGGGAGCAAACAGG